RNAcentral lists this ribosomal RNA (253 nucleotides) under uncultured bacterium. RNAcentral's name for it is "partial 16S ribosomal RNA". It matches the Rfam family "Bacterial small subunit ribosomal RNA", at positions 524 to 776 of the family's 1533-position model. The record is from RNAcentral.
UACGGAGGGGGCUAGCGUUGUUCGGAAUUACUGGGCGUAAAGCGCGCGUAGGCGGCUUUGUGAGUUAGAGGGGAAAGCCCGGGGCUCAACCCCGGAAUUGCCUUUAAGACUGCAUCGCUUGAACACGGGAGAGGUGAGUGGAAUUCCGAGUGUAGAGGUGAAAUGCGUAGAUAUCUGGAGGAACACCGGUGGCGAAGGCGGCAUCCUGGACCAAUAUUGACGCUGAGGAGCGAAAGCUAGGGGAGCAAACGGG